GCUUGCUUCUCUUGAGAGCGGCGGACGGGUGAGUAAUGCCUAGGAAUCUGCCUGGUAGUGGGGGAUAACGUCCGGAAACGGACGCUAAUACCGCAUACGUCCUACGGGAGAAAGCAGGGGACCUUCGGGCCUUGCGCUAUCAGAUGAGCCUAGGUCGGAUUAGCUAGUUGGUGGGGUAAUGGCUCACCAAGGCGACGAUCCGUAACUGGUCUGAGAGGAUGAUCAGUCACACUGGAACUGAGACACGGUCCAGACUCCUACGGGAGGCAGCAGUGGGGAAUAUUGGACAAUGGGCGAAAGCCUGAUCCAGCCAUGCCGCGUGUGUGAAGAAGGUCUUCGGAUUGUAAAGCACUUUAAGUUGGGAGGAAGGGCAGUAAAUUAAUACUUUGCUGUUUUGACGUUACCGACAGAAUAAGCACCGGCUAACUCUGUGCCAGCAGCCGCGGUAAUACAGAGGGUGCAAGCGUUAAUCGGAAUUACUGGGCGUAAAGCGCGCGUAGGUGGUUCGUUAAGUUGGAUGUGAAAUCCCCGGGCUCAACCUGGGAACUGCAUUCAAAACUGACGAGCUAGAGUAUGGUAGAGGGUGGUGGAAUUUCCUGUGUAGCGGUGAAAUGCGUAGAUAUAGGAAGGAACACCAGUGGCGAAGGCGACCACCUGGACUGAUACUGACACUGAGGUGCGAAAGCGUGGGGAACAAACAGGA
Molecule: ribosomal RNA, 703 nt
Filed under: uncultured bacterium
Lineage: Bacteria
Description: bacterial SSU rRNA
Rfam family: Bacterial small subunit ribosomal RNA
Source: RNAcentral